GAUGAAUGCUGGCGGCGUGCCUAACACAUGCAAGUCGAGCGGUAAGGCCCUUCGGGGUACACGAGCGGCGGACGGCUGAGUAACGCGUGGGAACAUACCCCAGAGUGAGGGAUAACGCACCGAAAGGUGUGCUAAUACCGCAUAAUCUCUUUGGAGCAAAGCAGUAAUGCGCUUUGGGAAUGGCCUGCGUACGAUUAGAUAGUUGGUGAGGUAAUGGCUUACCAAGUCGACGAUCGUUAGCUGGUCUGAGAGGAUGACCAGCCAGACUGGAACUGAGACACGGUCCAGACUCCUACGGGAGGCAGCAGUGAGGAAUCUUCCACAAUGGGGGCAACCCUGAUGGAGCAACGCCGCGUGCAGGAUGAAGGCCUUCGGGCCGUAAACUGCUUUUAUAAGUGAAGAAUAUGACGGUAACUUAUGAAUAAGCACCGGCUAACUACGUGCCAGCCGCCGCGGUAA
This 459-nucleotide ribosomal RNA is filed under the name uncultured bacterium. RNAcentral describes it as "partial 16S ribosomal RNA". It matches the Rfam family "Bacterial small subunit ribosomal RNA", at positions 28 to 523 of the family's 1533-position model. The record is from RNAcentral.